UAAAAUGACAAACAUGUCUCUUUAAGACCCAAUAACUAGUAAAAUUGUCAAAUGUAAAAGGUAUCUCCAGAAAACCUCCAGGUCACUGUCAAACGUCUGGUCUGUUGAAACUCUAUCAAUCCCUUCGGUCAACAAAGAAGCUGGGAGGCUUUAAACCACACACAGCCAUCUGGCCUGGUCACUGACAGACCGACAAGUAGCCACUUUAGAUGGCAGGAUUAUUGGGCUGUGACCGCCAUGGCAGGAUGCUCAGGGGACUGUGUCCCGCCACACAGGGAACCUGAUCGGUGGGGGGUAGACUGCAAAGAGUGCUGGCCUGCAGCAGCAGAAUGGGCGCCUGGGGAGCAAGCGCUCACAAUGGGCCUCUCAGCACCCAGACAGCAACACACACAGAAUGAGGAGGACAGAGAGGGGGAGCAGGACGAGGAGAAGGAGUAUUGUUGUCACCAUACAGAUGUCCAGGUUGAAGUGUGUGGACUCCUGUGA
This 486-nucleotide long non-coding RNA is filed under the name Carassius auratus (goldfish). Its description in RNAcentral is "lncRNA (ENSCARG00000007015.1)". The record is from RNAcentral. Lineage: Eukaryota; Metazoa; Chordata; Actinopteri; Cypriniformes; Cyprinidae.